This 1386-nucleotide ribosomal RNA is filed under the name Triticum aestivum (bread wheat). RNAcentral describes it as "partial small subunit ribosomal RNA". Lineage: Eukaryota; Viridiplantae; Streptophyta; Magnoliopsida; Poales; Poaceae. The record is from RNAcentral.
CCGAAAGGAUUCGAGGGUGGAGGGGUUCGUUCGGGUGAUAGGCCAAAACUGGUUUGGCAAGCGGCGGCCCAGUCAAGCAGGCGGGUAGUUGUACCCUGGGCUCGGAGGAGAGGACGGUUAAGGAAGGAUCGGUCGGUGGUGCGCCGGUGUUCCGAAAUGGAUCCGUCGCCAGGUGUGCCCACCUGCUUAGGUACGCAAAAAGUUGCCAAACAAAUCGCCUCGUGGGCCAGAGGGAGGAGGCGGAGACGGACGAAGGCAGCAGAGGGCGGCGGUGGUUGGCACAGACUAACCAGCAACCAGCGUAUUAAGCGGUCAUAUAUACAGUGCUUAGUAACACCGACUUAAGGGCCUUCCCUUUCGCUCCAUCGGCACUUAACCCGUGCGUCGUCGAGCCCAAAGUCGAGGUCGAGCUCGAGCAGGGCACUACUACCUCUUCCCCCCGUCUCCCGACAGGACGGCCCGGCGCCAGACGCCGUAGCAGCAGGACGAGACGCGGUGGCGGAAGAGGACGAGGGAGCGGCGGCUCAAGGCGUCUCAGUUCCUGCCCCUGUACUUCGACCUGCCGUCGGAGACGAGGGACGGGUCCUCGAGGCGGAAGCUUAACCCGCAGCGCCGGUAGCGGAAGGAGAGGCAGCGCGUCGAGCAGCCGUGGUGGCGCCGCCGCUGGUGGUACACGCGGAGGUCGAGUUUCGGGCCGUUCGGGCAGCGGUGGCCUCCGGCGCAGCGCGGGCAGCGCGAGGACCGGGAGAGUACCCACACGAAGCGCGACCGGCACUAGGACGACCGCUGCCGCCGCUCGUACUUGUCGCCCGUCGCGAUGCCGGCCCCCACCUACCUGCCGCUGACGAUGCAGCGGUCCUUGCCGCACAAGCCGCCGCGGCGGCGGGACCAGCAGCAGUGCCGCGAGGAGUAGGAGCCGGAGUGGAAGCAGUGGUUUUGGCGCCGCCGGCCGAGCUCGUGCUGCCGCACGCGGUCUGCUCUGCGGCGGACGUGUUGAUGGUAGGCACAGCUGCGCCGUUGUCCGCGCUCGGGCCCUGUCGGCCCGCCCGCUAGGUUCGUUACUAGCCACGACCGUAGCCGUCUAGCUAGCCUGUGCUCCCGCCCGGCCCGGUUGGCCACCUCUCCAGCUACUGUGCGAAGCGACAAGCAGGGCGUUUCCGGUUCGGCUCACCCUCGUAGAAGAAGAGGAAAACCAGAGCCCACCCCGUAGAACCAUCCGACCGUUUCGACUCUUUCCGCUAGAGCCCUCAUGACGACCACCCAACCUACCCUCCCUGUGUCAUGUAUCUUAAUGACUGUGUAAAUGACUGCACCGGCACGUUUCACAUUUACUGUAAUGGCUUGACCAUUCUUCCUUUCUAGGAGUUCCUAGCAUGUCUUGUCUCG